UCCCCAGAAAUCCUUCCCCAGCGCGGCCUCUGUGGUGGGAUCAUGCUGUGUUCUUCUUCCCCUCCACAUGGCCUUGGCCUGAGAGAAGGAGCAGAGUGGGCUGGGGCCGCUGCAGAGGAAGCAGCUGUAAUCAGUGGAGAAAUAGAACAGCCGAGAACUAUCUGUGGGGUUCACAGGCACAGAAGCUCAGCAACAUGCCAAAUACUGUGGAACUAAAAAUAAAUGAACAACAACAACAAACUGCUGACCGUUAGCUAUGAGAUCCUGGAUAAUAAGAGUUAUAAAAGUAUUAUGCUUCAGCAAGCUUAUCAUCUGAGAAGGUCAUGAAGAAUUACACUGCUACACCCAGUGAACUUUAGGUUAUGGAGAAAUGUUAUUACCUUCCUGGGCGAAAAGGGGUAGCUGUGUUUGAGACUCAUCUGCUGUUAUGGUCAAAGACUUACAGCUCAUGAUUCAGUUUAAGAAGACACCCAAGAGCAUACUGGGUCCCUCCUACAAGGCCCUGUUCUCCAUUUCCUUCAUUCCCUGCCAUGAUGAAAAUCAUUGCUGUGUUGCAGCCAUGCAACUUUAGUGUAUCUAAUUAUUACUUUCAAUUUGUGAAGAACUACGGUUACGCAAGGAGCUGAUCCGAUAAAUGAUAAAGACAUCAUCUCAUUCAUAAAUGUUAGAAGUUUCUUAUAUCAGGACCCAGGAUAACUUUGAAAGGCUUCAGCAGAACAUCAGGCAAAGAAAACCCUAAGUGGGACACUGAGCAGCGUGUGCCACUUACUACGGCAACUGAGCUGGAGAGCGAAGGUGACUGCCUUAGAUCAGAGGACAUGUUUCUGAACAUGGAAGCUGAGGUAGACGCUGGAGUGAUUUAAGACAAUAUAACUUUGGAAACUGUGAGUUAGUAUCAGCAAUGAAGCUGACAGUUGCCAUAAGUGUCAGAUAGAGGGACUGUUAUUCACUGAUAUGUGUAUAAGCUAAGAUUGUCUUUUUAACUUUGGCACAAGAGAAGCAUAAACUGAUGCAUGAUAUGCAAACUGUUUCCUAUAUUUUAAUUCCAUGCUUUGCCUGAUGCAUGAUAUGCAAACUAUUUCUUAUAUUUUUAAUUCCAUGCUUUGCCUGCUUUAAAUGCAUUUUCCUUCAUGCAGAUAACCUAAAAGGAGAGGAAAUCAUACUCCCUAAAGACAGGUAUCUGAAGUUGAGAAAUUCAGAAAGCCAAAAGCCCUGCUUAUGGUGCCUAAGUAAAAGUGUUCUGUACUAAUACAGUGUGUUACUAUUAUACUGGAUAAAAUCAGCACAACCAGAAAAUCCUGAAGACCAUGAAAGAAACGUGGUAAGGAAGAGAAACUUGGUAAACUCAUAAUAUGCAGAAAAAAAGAUAAACAAGAAUGAAAGAUAAAAGAAACCCUCUUAAAAUACAUAUUCCCAGAAAGCUUACCAUUUUAUACUGUUUUUAUUUUAAAUAAUUAUUUCUGUUUUGUGUAUUAAAUUGCUCCAGAGACCUAUGUGGAAAACAGUCCUGUCUGCAAGUAACAAUCAAAUUCAACUUUAACAUUUUGUCCUUCAAGAAAGACCUUUAAACAAAAUAUUUAUUUUCUCACCCAGCUAUUCCCUUUGUAUAACUAGAAGUGUGUCCCUUCUUCUUUUCACUCUCCCUAGAGAGGAAUGUUUCUUUGUUUCUUAUAUUUUUAUAAACCCUGAAAAAACAUGGUAUGAAAUGUACUUGCUCAAAACUAUUUGAUUAUUGACUGAUAUUAAAAUUAGAUACUUCAAUGAAAUUGAUUAAGAAAUAUCAAAUAGAUCACCUCAGUUGGGUUCAAAACACUUAACUUUAUGCGUCAAUAAUGUCGUUUAUUUCUGAAUGUCAAUAUGUCAGUAUAGGAAAAUAGCAAUGUUAGGGCAUGAUUCACUUGACCUAUUUUAGCUAUCUUCUUUAGGAAAUGCAUAGCACCUUAAAGAGUUUAUUUCCCUCUAUCAGCAACAAAGACAGGCUUGGCUAACUAGCUCAGAUAGAGACUGCAAAUAUUUACAUUUGGUCAAAUGAGCACACUUUUUUGCUAAAGGCUUCAUUCACAGCUGACACUGGAGAGAGAGAUGAAUUAUUCCAUGAAUUAUUAUUUCCAAGGGGAAAGGAAAAGACAAAUGGGAUCACCGCCCAUGUCUGCCUCAAGCAAUUGUAGGCACAAGCAUAGUACUGCUGCAGUGAUUUAGAGGUUAAGAGUUCUGCUGCAGGUAAAAGAAAAGUUAUACUGCAGCUACGCUCGUGUCAUGGAGUGAUGUUUCAUACACUGGGUUUCCGAUACUCUGCUAUUUGUCAAAACAUCUAUUGUGGAGUGCUACAACCACAUGCGGGUUCUUUCUCAUGGAAAAGUGUGUGAAGAGCUAUGAUGACAAUAUCCAGCUGAUGUCCCCAUACAGAGUCAUGAGGUGGCUGCACAUGCAUCUGAGCUGGGAGAUGGGAACUCAGAAGAGUUACUAGAUCCAGGUACAUGGAUGUGCAUAAAGCCAGCUAAAAUAUGAGGUAUCUUGUAAAAAACAACAAAAACAAAACCAAAACAACCCCCCAAGCCCUGUUUCGACUUUAUUUAAACAUUUCCUA
Long non-coding RNA from Struthio camelus australis, 2587 nucleotides. RefSeq lists it as uncharacterized. Lineage: Eukaryota; Metazoa; Chordata; Aves; Struthioniformes; Struthionidae. The record is from RefSeq and is a predicted model, not a curated record.